RNAcentral lists this unclassified non-coding RNA (409 nucleotides) under Melitaea cinxia (Glanville fritillary). Its description in RNAcentral is "misc RNA ENSMCXG00005018406.1". The record is from RNAcentral. Lineage: Eukaryota; Metazoa; Arthropoda; Insecta; Lepidoptera; Nymphalidae.
GGUGGUACCAUGAUAAGGAAACCAGGAUUUGAUGAUAGUAUCUCAGAGAAAUCGAGGGAAACGUUCGAAAACCGUAGUGACGACUGGUGCGUUUGUUAUUUUUUUUUCGUCUUCUUACGUUGUAUUACUCGUCGAUAUAGGUAUGUAAUUGAAGUCGGUUUUUCCGUUUACUAGCAAACGCAAUUAUGUCUUUCAGUCUUUGCGUGUGGUAGUUAAUUUCUCCUAUAAUCGUGACAUCUAUAUUAGCAUUACCACUUUAAGAAUUUUCAUAGAUAUUAUUUAUAAUUGCAUAUUGAAAUUAAAAAUUAACGCUGUUAGAUAGAAAACCACACAUGAACGUAAAAAGAAAUAUGUAUAAUGUAUAUAUUCAUAGGUGAGGUGAAAACAGCGAAAGCAAUUACGGCAAAAA